UGCUGCAGCCUGUCUGUGAAGUGGGCACAGCUGAUCCUGGUGUCCAGACGGGAAAUUGUGGCUGAAAGGAUGACAGGCUUUGCUUCCAUCACUGUGGAUCAUUUCAGUGGUGACAAUGAGACCUAUAAUACUU
Molecule: small nucleolar RNA, 133 nt
Organism: Echinops telfairi (small Madagascar hedgehog)
Lineage: Eukaryota; Metazoa; Chordata; Mammalia; Afrosoricida; Tenrecidae
Source: Ensembl